GCUAUGGAACUCGCCUGCAGAAUGUUUUUCUGCAUUGAAAAAGCGUGGUUAUCGCAUUGCAACUACUUGUUUGGGAACUGAUUCGGUUUCUGUGUAUGACAUGGAUUGGUCCCAUCCAACGGCUAUUGUUGUGGGCAACGAGCUUAGGGGUAUUAGCGAUGAUGCUCUGAAGUUGUCAGACUUGCACUGUAGUGUUCCUAUGAAAGGCAUGGUGGAUUCAUUUAAUGUAUCUGUUGCAGCUGGAAUCCUCAUGCACCAUGCUGUUUGUGAU
Molecule: long non-coding RNA, 271 nt
Organism: Phragmites australis (common reed)
Lineage: Eukaryota; Viridiplantae; Streptophyta; Magnoliopsida; Poales; Poaceae
Exons: 3
Source: RefSeq, a predicted model, not a curated record